RNAcentral lists this ribosomal RNA (473 nucleotides) under Ralstonia pickettii. RNAcentral's name for it is "bacterial SSU rRNA". It matches the Rfam family "Bacterial small subunit ribosomal RNA", at positions 30 to 490 of the family's 1533-position model. The record is from RNAcentral. Lineage: Bacteria; Pseudomonadati; Pseudomonadota; Betaproteobacteria; Burkholderiales; Burkholderiaceae.
AUUGAACGCUGGCGGCAUGCCUUACACAUGCAAGUCGAACGGCAGCAUGAUCUAGCUUGCUAGAUUGAUGGCGAGUGGCGAACGGGUGAGUAAUACAUCGGAACGUGCCCUGUAGUGGGGGAUAACUAGUCGAAAGAUUAGCUAAUACCGCAUACGACCUGAGGGUGAAAGUGGGGGACCGCAAGGCCUCAUGCUAUAGGAGCGGCCGAUGUCUGAUUAGCUAGUUGGUGGGGUAAAGGCCCACCAAGGCGACGAUCAGUAGCUGGUCUGAGAGGACGAUCAGCCACACUGGGACUGAGACACGGCCCAGACUCCUACGGGAGGCAGCAGUGGGGAAUUUUGGACAAUGGGCGAAAGCCUGAUCCAGCAAUGCCGCGUGUGUGAAGAAGGCCUUCGGGUUGUAAAGCACUUUUGUCCGGAAAGAAAUGGCUCUGGUUAAUACCUGGGGUCGAUGACGGUACCGGAAGAAUAAG